AUGAUGUGCAAGUAGAGAUACUGGAGUGAUAGAUGAGCAGAUGAUGAUGUGCAAGUAGCGAUACUGGUGUGCAAAAGAAACUUAAAUGAAGUGAUUAACAAUAGCUUGUACUUCUUCAGAUACGCAUUUAAAAACUGGUUUGAAGAAAGUGGUGAGGAUAGGAUCUAGAAGGCAGGUAGAAGGUGGUGAGGAUAGGAUCUGGAAGGCAGGUAGAAAGUGGUGUGGAUAGGAUCUAGAAGGCAGAUAGAAAGUGGUGUGGAUAGGAUCUAGAAGGCAGGUAGAAAGUGGUGUGGAUAGGAUCUAGAAGGCAGGUAGAAAGUGGUGUGGAUAGGAUCUAGAAGGCAGGUAGAAAGUGGUGUGGAUAGGAUCUAGAAGGCAGGUAGAAAGUGGUGUGGAUAGGAUCUAGAAGGCAGGUAGAAAGUGGUGUGGAUAGGAUCUAGAAGGCAGGUAGAAAGUGGUGUGGAUAGGAUCUAGAAGGCAGGUAGAAAGUGGUGUGGAUAGGAUCUAGAAGGCAGGUAGAAAGUGGUGUGGAUAGGAUCUAGAAGGCAGGUAGAAAGUGGUGUGGAUAGGAUCUAGAAGGCAGGUAGAAAGUGGUGUGGAUAGGAUCUAGAAGGCAGGUAGAAAGUGGUGUGGAUAGGAUCUAGAAGGCAGGUAGAAAGUGGUGUGGAUAGGAUCUAGAAGGCAGGUAGAAAGUGGUGUGGAUAGGAUCUAGAAGGCAGGUAGAAAGUGGUGUGGAUAGGAUCUAGAAGGCAGGUAGAAAGUGGUGUGGAUAGGAUCUAGAAGGCAGGUAGAAAGUGGUGUGGAUAGGAUCUAGAAGGCAGGUAGAAAGUGGUGUGGAUAGGAUCUAGAAGGCAGGUAGAAGUCCUAAUUUGUGAUAUCACUUUCCUGAACAUGUCUGUGCCAACCAGGGAAAAUACAUCUGUAGUAGACAAGGGCAGAUAUCAUCAAACUUCUCAUCAGGU
Molecule: long non-coding RNA, 962 nt
Organism: Oncorhynchus keta (chum salmon)
Lineage: Eukaryota; Metazoa; Chordata; Actinopteri; Salmoniformes; Salmonidae
Exons: 4
Source: RefSeq, a predicted model, not a curated record